GAUGAACGCUGGCGGCGUGCCUAAUACAUGCAAGUCGAGCGAACAGACGAGGAGCUUGCUCCUCUGACGUUAGCGGCGGACGGGUGAGUGACACGUGGAUAACCUACCUAUAAGACUGGGAUAACUUCGGGAAACCGGAGCUAAUACCGGAUAAUAUAUUGAACCGCAUGGUUCAAUAGUGAAAGACGGUUUUGCUGUCACUUAUAGAUGGAUCCGCGCCGCAUUAGCUAGUUGGUAAGGUAACGGCUUACCAAGGCAACGAUGCGUAGCCGACCUGAGAGGGUGAUCGGCCACACUGGAACUGAGACACGGUCCAGACUCCUACGGGAGGCAGCAGUAGGGAAUCUUCCGCAAUGGGCGAAAGCUUGACGGAGCAACGCCGCGUGAGUGGUGAAGGUCUUCGGAUCGUAAAACUCUGUUAUUAGGGAAGAACAAAUGUGUAAGUAACUAUGCACGUCUUGACGGUACCUAAUCAGAAAGCCACGGCUAACUACGUG
RNAcentral lists this ribosomal RNA (497 nucleotides) under uncultured bacterium. RNAcentral describes it as "partial 16S ribosomal RNA". It matches the Rfam family "Bacterial small subunit ribosomal RNA", at positions 28 to 507 of the family's 1533-position model. The record is from RNAcentral.